UACGAAGGGUGCAAGCGUUACUCGGAAUUACUGGGCGUAAAGAGCUCGUAGGCGGUUUGUCGCGUCUGCUGUGAAAACCCGAGGCUCAACCUCGGGCCUGCAGUGGGUACGGGCAGACUAGAGUGCGGUAGGGGAGAUUGGAAUUCCUGGUGUAGCGGUGGAAUGCGCAGAUAUCAGGAGGAACACCAAUGGCGAAGGCAGAUCUCUGGGCCGUAACUGACGCUGAGGAGCGAAAGCAUGGGGAGCGAACAGG
Molecule: ribosomal RNA, 253 nt
Filed under: uncultured bacterium
Lineage: Bacteria
Description: partial 16S ribosomal RNA
Rfam family: Bacterial small subunit ribosomal RNA
Source: RNAcentral